AGUCGAACGGUAACGGGUCCUUCGGGAUGCCGACGAGUGGCGAACGCGUGAGUAAUAUAUCGGAACGUGCCCAGUAGUGGGGGAUAACUGCUCGAAAGAGCAGCUAAUACCGCAUACGACCUGAGGGUGAAAGGGGGGGAUCGCAAGACCUCUCGCUAUUGGAGCGGCCGAUAUCAGAUUAGCUAGUUGGUGGGGUAAAGGCCUACCAAGGCAACGAUCUGUAGUUGGUCUGAGAGGACGACCAGCCACACUGGGACUGAGACACGGCCCAGACUCCUACGGGAGGCAGCAGUGGGGAAUUUUGGACAAUGGGCGCAAGCCUGAUCCAGCAAUGCCGCGUGCAGGAAGAAGGCCUUCGGGUUGUAAACUGCUUUUGUCAGGGAAGAAAUCUUCUGGGCUAAUACCCCGGGAGGAUGACGGUACCUGAGGAAUAAGCACCGGCUAACUACGUGCCAGCAGCCGCGGUAAUACGUAGGGUGCGAGCGUUAAUCGGAAUUACUGGGCGUAAAGCGUGCGCAGGCGGCUUUGCAAGACAGAUGUGAAAUCCCCGGGCUCAACCUGGGAACUGCAUUUGUGACUGCAAGGCUAGAGUACGGCAGAGGGGGAUGGAAUUCCGCG
This 618-nucleotide ribosomal RNA is filed under the name uncultured bacterium. RNAcentral describes it as "bacterial SSU rRNA". It matches the Rfam family "Bacterial small subunit ribosomal RNA", at positions 60 to 673 of the family's 1533-position model. The record is from RNAcentral.